AGAGUUUGAUCAUGGCUCAGAGUGAACGCUGGCGGCGUGCCUAAUACAUGCAAGUCGAACGAUGAAGCUCUAGCUUGCUAGAGUGGAUUAGUGGCGCACGGGUGAGUAAUGUGUAGCUAAUCUGCCCUAUAGAAGGGGACAACAGUUGGAAACGACUGCUAAUACCCUAUACUCCGCUUUAACAUAAGUUAAAUCGGGAAAGUUUUUCGCUAUAGGAUGAGGCUACAUUGUAUCAGCUAGUUGGUAAGGUAAAGGCCUACCGAGGCGAUGAUGCAUAGCCGACCUGAGAGGGUGAUCGGCCACAUUGGGACUGAGACACGGCCCAAACUCCUACGGGAGGCAGCAGUAGGGAAUCUUCGGCAAUGGACGAAAGUCUGACCGAGCAACGCCGCGUGAGUGAAGAAGGUUUUCGGAUCGUAAAGCUCUGUUGUUAGAGAAGAACAAGUAGAAUAGUAACUGAUUCUACCUUGACGGUAUCUAACCAGAAAGCCACGGCUAACUACGUGCCAGCAGCCGCGGUAAUACGUAGGUGGCAAGCGUUGUCCGGAUUUAUUGGGCGUAAAGCGAGCGCAGGCGGUCUUUUAAGUCUGAUGUGAAAGCCUCCGGCUUAACCGGAGAGGGUCAUUGGAAACUGGGAGACUUGAGUGCAGAAGAGGAAAGUGGAACUCCAUGUGUAGCGGUGGAAUGCGUAGAUAUAUGGAAGAACACCAGUGGCGAAGGCGGCUUUCUGGUCUGUAACUGACGCUGAGGCUCGAAAGCGUGGGGAGCAAACAGGAUUAGAUACCCUGGUAGU
Molecule: ribosomal RNA, 793 nt
Filed under: uncultured bacterium
Lineage: Bacteria
Description: bacterial SSU rRNA
Rfam family: Bacterial small subunit ribosomal RNA
Source: RNAcentral